This is a long non-coding RNA of Capsella rubella, 295 nucleotides long. RefSeq lists it as uncharacterized. The record is from RefSeq and is a predicted model, not a curated record. Lineage: Eukaryota; Viridiplantae; Streptophyta; Magnoliopsida; Brassicales; Brassicaceae. The transcript is spliced from 2 exons.
AUUCAAACAAAAAUGGCUUUGUCAAAGUUUCAACUUGCAGCCCUCCUUCUCAUCACAUAUUCUCUCAUGUUCACUUCUCAAGUGUUGAAGGCAGACGAUAUUAUGCCUGGAGUGUGUAAUUUUAGAGGUCCAUGCAAGUUUAACUAUGAUUGUACGGAUCGAUGUGGACCGCCUGAAUUCCCAAAAGAUACUACAUGCACAUGCAUAGCUCCUCUUGGCAGUGGACUUCUUUGUUGUUGUAGUUUUGGUUAAAUAUUAAUAUUAUCAUUAUAAAGUAAUAAAGUGGAGUCUUUAU